This 1692-nucleotide long non-coding RNA is filed under the name Dicentrarchus labrax (European seabass). Its description in RNAcentral is "lncRNA (ENSDLAG00005026915.1)". The record is from RNAcentral. Lineage: Eukaryota; Metazoa; Chordata; Actinopteri; Moronidae.
AUGGACUCUAAGAAAUCAAAAAUGUGGACUGAUGCGAUGGAAGAGGAGAUGAACUCUUUGACAGAGAAUGAGACUUUCACUCUGACCCCACUGCCAACAGGCAAACAAGCAGUGGGAGGUCGCUGGGUAUAUGCAGUGAAAGAGAGCACAGAUGGAUCUGAGACUUGUAAAGCCAGAUACGUUGCAAAGGGGUAUGGUCAAGUGGAAGGGAUUGACUAUAAAGAGACUUUUUCACCGACAGCCAACAUGACCUCUGUCCAAGCAUUGAUGCAGGUGGCUGUACAAGAGGAUCUUACCCUACACCAAAUGGAUGUAAAGACUGCUUACCUCCAUGCUCCUAUGGACUGUGAGGUAUAUAUGGAGCAACUGGAAGGUUUUGAGAUCAAGUCAAAAACAGGAGAACAACUAGUGUGUAAACUCAACAAGUCAUUGUAUGGUUUAAAACAGUGCGGGCGUAACUGGAACAUGUUACUGCAUGAUCACCUUACAGAGAAUGGUUUUGUACAAAAUGAUGCUGAUCAUUGUGUCUACAGCAGAGAAUCUGACAAAGAAAAAGUGAUUCUGUUAGUAUGGGUAGAUGACUUAAUCAUAGCGGCGAGUAACAACACCUUACUCAGUGAGGCAAAAGAAAUGUUGAAGAGAAGGUUUAAGAUGAAAGAUAUGGGUCCACUUAAACACUUCCUGGGCAUCGACUUUAGACAGAGUGAGGGAGAGAUCAAAAUGACUCAAAAGAGACACAUAGAGAAGAUGUUAGCGAAAUUUGGAAUGUCCGCAUGCAAACCAAGAUCCACCCCAUGUGAGCAAAGGUUAAACUUUGACAGUGAGGGUGAAGUUAUUGACUCAACAGGAUAUAGAGAGAUAGUAGGUAGCUUAAUAUACAUUAUGACAUGUACCAGACCUGACCUGAGCUGGGUUGUUAGUAAACUAUCACAACACCUAGCAGAACCAAAGCAGCAGCAUUGGGCUACAGCAAAACACCUACUGAGGUACUUAAAGGGUACUAUAGAUCAAGAACUACACUUCCAGAAAUGUGAGGGAAGCCUACAGCUUGAGGGAUAUAGUGACGCUGAUUGGGCAGCUGACACAAAUGACAGGAGGAGCACAACUGGAUACUGUUUCAGCUUAACUGAGAAUGGUCCAGUUAUAUUGUGGAAGAGUAGGAAACAGCCAACGGUGGCACUAUCAACCUGCGAAGCUGAGUAUAUGGCUCUAGCAGCCACUACUCAAGAGAGUAUGUACCUUGUACAACUACUUAAAGGAAUAGAUAGUAGUAACCACACACACACACACACACACACACACUAUGAACUAUUUUCUUACUUUCUUACUACUUUGUUCACGUCGCCUAAAUACUUUUUUGGCGUUUUUGAGCACUUUUUAUUUUUUGUUUACGCUGGUCUCCAUGGCGACGAGGAGUCGCAUUGUCCGUCGCCGUCGGACUUCGUCCGUGUUGUCUGCCACGGGAACUUUCCAGUGUUGUCGCCAUCACUGUCUAUAUUCCUCACAGUGGUCUUCAUCAUCACCAUCACUGUCUAUAUUCCUCACAGUGGUCUUCAUCAUCACCAUCACUGUCUAUAUUCCUCACAGUGGUCUUCAUCAUCACCAUCACUGUUUACAUUUAUGAUGUCCUAUUUAUUCUCCUGUACAGCACUUAGGUCAACUUUGGUUGUUUUUAAAGUGCUUAACAAAUAA